GAAAGGUGAUCAUUACACCGUACAGAAUGAAGGCUGUCCCCAGCUGGAGUAUUUUAUUACCCUUGUCUUCUUGCGCACUUGUUGUUUCCUGGGCGGGUUCGCUCGCCACCAGGACCACCAAAUAAACCUUUUUUAUGCAGUUGCAAUCAGCGUCAGUACAAACAAUGUAAAUCAUUUACAACUUUCAACAACGGAUCUCUUGGUUCUGGCAUCGAUGAAGAACGCAGCGAAAUGCGAUACGUAGUGUGAAUUGCAGAAUUCAGUGAAUCAUCGAAUCUUUGAACGCACAUUGCGCCCUUUGGUAUUCCAAAGGGCAUGCCUGUUCGAGCGUCAUUUGUACCCUCAAGCUUUGCUUGGUGUUGGGCGUUUUUGUCUUUGGUCGCCCAAAGACUCGCCUUAAAGUGAUUGGCAGCCGGCCUUUCUGGUUUCGCAGCGCAGCACAUUUUUGCGCUUGCCAUCAGCAAGACGGCAAUCCAUCAAGCCUCCUUCUCACGUUUGACCUCGGAUCAGGUAGGGAUACCCGCUGAACUUAAGCAUAUCAUUAAGCGGAGGAAAAGGAACUUUCCAUUCAAUAAGAAGGCGUCCCAGCUGGAGUAUUUUAUUCUUGUCUUUGCGCCUGUGUUCGGGCGGUCUGCCCAGGACCAAUACUUUUUUAUCAUAAUCGCCGUAAAAGUAAUUUAAUUCACAAAUUGGCGGUGAAAAAAACAAAGGGACAAAGGAAAAAUUAAUCCUUUACCUGCCUGAAUAAGAAGCUUUUCCUUUGGGGCU
Molecule: ribosomal RNA, 768 nt
Filed under: Bipolaris sp. 2 TT-2014
Lineage: Eukaryota; Fungi; Ascomycota; Dothideomycetes; Pleosporales; Pleosporaceae
Description: eukaryotic LSU rRNA
Rfam family: 5.8S ribosomal RNA (bases 180-333)
Source: RNAcentral